GACGUAGGGGGCAAGCGUUGUCCGGAAUCAUUGGGCGUAAAGCGCUCGUAGGUGGAUCGGUAAGUCUGCAAAGAAAGACCCCGGGCUCAACUCGGGGAACGGUGUGGAUACUACCGAUCUUGAGGCAAUCAGAGGAUGAUGGAAUUCCCGGUGUAGCGGUGAAAUGCGUAGAGAUCGGGAGGAACACCAGUGGCGAAGGCGGCUACCUGGACCAGCACUGACACUGAGGCACGAAAGCGUGGGGAGCAAACAGG
RNAcentral lists this ribosomal RNA (254 nucleotides) under uncultured bacterium. RNAcentral's name for it is "partial 16S ribosomal RNA". It matches the Rfam family "Bacterial small subunit ribosomal RNA", at positions 524 to 776 of the family's 1533-position model. The record is from RNAcentral.